AUACUUACCUGGCAGGGGAGACACCAUGAUCACGAAGGUGGUUUUCCCAGGGCAAGGCUUAUCCAUUGCACUCCGGAUGCGCUGACCCCUGCGAUUUCCCCAAAUGUGGGAAACUCGAGUGCGUAAUUUGUGGUAGUGGGGACUGCGUUCGCACUUUCCCCUG
This 163-nucleotide small nuclear RNA is filed under the name Aotus nancymaae (Ma's night monkey). RNAcentral describes it as "U1 spliceosomal RNA (ENSANAG00000031555.1)". It matches the Rfam family "U1 spliceosomal RNA". From Rfam's summary of the family: U1 is a small nuclear RNA (snRNA) component of the spliceosome (involved in pre-mRNA splicing). Lineage: Eukaryota; Metazoa; Chordata; Mammalia; Primates; Aotidae. The record is from Rfam by way of RNAcentral.